UCAGAUUUUUGGUAAUUUCGAAUUAUUAUUUUCCAAAGAUGAACCAUAAUCUUGACUUGGGAUUAAGCUAGGAUAUGGGUCAUCUAAACAAUAGAUGCAUAAUUCUACCUUCACCAAACCAAAAUUCUUGGAAAACUCCCUUAAGAACAGGUGAAGCUCGAAGUUACCAUCCUGGUCCUCUUUAAUUGAUAGCUCCAAAUAUCUCUCGACCUGGGGGCAUCGAAGAAGACGACCGAGAAGGUGGGUGUUGGGGGCCCGCCGUGGUAGGGGGUGAAUGGUGAAAGAAAGCAGAAAGGAAACAAAAUCUUACAUUAAAACCUAUGAAAUCUUUAAGGAACACUAAAUAAAAGAAUCGUAUGAAGAAAUUAUCAAUUUUUUUUGUCAAGAAAGUGGAAAAGGAAGAGUGAAAUUGAGCCCUAGAUCAAGGAAGAAAAUGGCAAUAAGAUUAUAUAGACGUAGUGGGUCGUUCAAUUUUAUCGGGUGUCUCCGAAGAGAUAUAGAUGUAGACUGGAAUUGAGAAGAGCUAGGGUUUGAUAGGUUACCUGCUUCCAAGAAGAGAGAAACUCCUAAGCUUUUGAGAGGACUCCAAUUUGGGUGUAACGACAGCCACCAUGGAUGGAUUUGAGAAAAAGAAGCAAGGGAGAAAGCGACAACAAGAAAGCAGGAAGAGGCUACGGAAU
RNAcentral lists this long non-coding RNA (680 nucleotides) under Phoenix dactylifera (date palm). RNAcentral describes it as "long non-coding RNA (PDAC_LNC013657)". Lineage: Eukaryota; Viridiplantae; Streptophyta; Magnoliopsida; Arecales; Arecaceae. The record is from RNAcentral.